UACGGAGGGAGCUAGCGUUGUUCGGAAUUACUGGGCGUAAAGCGCGCGUAGGCGGCUUUGUAAGUUAGAGGUGAAAGCCCGGAGCUCAACUCCGGAACUGCCUUUAAGACUGCAUCGCUUGAAUCCAGGAGAGGUGAGUGGAAUUCCGAGUGUAGAGGUGAAAUUCGUAGAUAUUCGGAAGAACACCAGUGGCGAAGGCGGCUCACUGGACUGGUAUUGACGCUGAGAUGCGAAAGCGUGGGGAGCAAACAGG
Molecule: ribosomal RNA, 253 nt
Filed under: uncultured bacterium
Lineage: Bacteria
Description: partial 16S ribosomal RNA
Rfam family: Bacterial small subunit ribosomal RNA
Source: RNAcentral